AGAAUGUGGGAGAGGUAGAUGGAAUUUCUGGUGUAGGGGUAAAAUCCGUAGAGAUCAGAAGGAAUACCGAUUGCGAAGGCGAUCUACUGGAACAUUAUUGACGCUGAGAUGCGAAAGCGUGGGGAGCAAACAGGAUUAGAUACCCUGGUAGUCCACGCCCUAAACGAUGUACACUAGUUGUUGUGAGACUUGAUCUUGCAGUAAUGCAGUUAACACAUUAAGUGUACCGCCUGGGGAGUACGGUCGCAAGAUUAAAACUCAAAGGAAUAGACGGGGACCCGCACAAGCGGUGGAGCAUGUGGUUUAAUUCGACGAUACACGAAGAACCUUACCUGGACUUGACAUAGUAAGAACUUUCUAGAGAUAGAUUGGUGUCUGCUUGCAGAAACUUAUAUACAGGUGCUGCACGGCUGUCGUCAGCUCGUGUCGUGAGAUGUUGGGUUAAGUCCCGCAACGAGCGCAACCCUCGUGUUUAGUUGCUAACAGUUCGGCUGAGAACUCUAAACAGACUGCCUACGCAAGUAGGAGGAAGGUGAGGACGACGUCAAGUCAUCAUGGCCCUUACGUCCAGGGCUACACACGUGCUACAAUGGGAUAUACAAAGAGCGGCAAUACGGUGACGUGGAGCAAAUCUUAUAAAAUAUCUCCCAGUUCGGAUUGUAGUCUGCAACUCGACUACAUGAAGUUGGAAUCGCUAGUAAUCGUAGAUCAGCUAUGCUACGGUGAAUACGUUCCCGGGUCUUGUACUCACCGCCCGUCACACCAUGGGAGUCGAACUCAUUCGAAGCGGGGAUGCUAAAAUAGCUACCUUCCACAGUGGAUUUGGCGACUGGGGUGAAGUCGUAACAAGGUAACCGUAGGAGAACCUGCGGUUG
RNAcentral lists this ribosomal RNA (875 nucleotides) under Acinetobacter sp. PT1. Its description in RNAcentral is "bacterial SSU rRNA". It matches the Rfam family "Bacterial small subunit ribosomal RNA", at positions 643 to 1520 of the family's 1533-position model. Lineage: Bacteria; Pseudomonadati; Pseudomonadota; Gammaproteobacteria; Moraxellales; Moraxellaceae. The record is from RNAcentral.